RNAcentral lists this ribosomal RNA (372 nucleotides) under uncultured organism. Its description in RNAcentral is "bacterial SSU rRNA". It matches the Rfam family "Bacterial small subunit ribosomal RNA", at positions 526 to 896 of the family's 1533-position model. The record is from RNAcentral.
CGAACCGUCCAAACGUUAUUCGGAAUUACUGGGCUUAAAGGGUACGUAGGCGGCGCUGUUAGUCGGGUGUGAAAUCCCACGGCUCAACCGUGGAAUUGCGCCCGAUACUGCAGUGCUUGAGGGAGACAGAGGUAAGCGGAACUGAUGGUGGAGCGGUGAAAUGCGUUGAUAUCAUCAGGAACACCGGUGGCGAAAGCGGCUUACUGGGUCUCUUCUGACGCUGAGGUACGAAAGCUAGGGUAGCGAAGGGGAUUAGAUACCCCCGUAGUCCUAGCCGUAAACGUUGAGCACUUGAUCGAGGAACCCCCCAUAGUUUCUCGGUCGUAGCGAAAGUGUUAAGUGCUCCGCCUGGGGAGUAUGGUCGCAAGGCUG